This 83-nucleotide transfer RNA is filed under the name Actinomycetota bacterium. Its description in RNAcentral is "Actinobacteria bacterium (soil metagenome) tRNA-Leu". It matches the Rfam family "tRNA". Rfam says of the family: Transfer RNA (tRNA) molecules are approximately 80 nucleotides in length. Their secondary structure includes four short double-helical elements and three loops (D, anti-codon, and T loops). Further hydrogen bonds mediate the characteristic L-shaped molecular structure. tRNAs have two regions of fundamental functional importance: the anti-codon, which is responsible for specific mRNA codon recognition, and the 3' end, to which the tRNAs corresponding amino acid is attached (by aminoacyl-tRNA synthetases). tRNAs cope with the degeneracy of the genetic code in two manners: having more than one tRNA (with a specific anti-codon) for a particular amino acid; and 'wobble' base-pairing, i.e. permitting non-standard base-pairing at the 3rd anti-codon position. Lineage: Bacteria; Bacillati; Actinomycetota. The record is from RNAcentral.
GCCGGGGUGGCGAAAUGGCAGACGCGGCGGACUCAAAAUCCGUUGGGCGCAAGCCCGUGGGGGUUCGACUCCCCCCCCCGGCA